Long non-coding RNA from Canis lupus familiaris (dog), 521 nucleotides. RefSeq lists it as uncharacterized. NCBI's taxonomy places the organism in Eukaryota, Metazoa, Chordata, Mammalia, Carnivora, Canidae. The transcript is spliced from 3 exons. The record is from RefSeq and is a predicted model, not a curated record.
GGUGGGGCCUGAGGGUACCAUCCUGCAGUUGCCAUUUUCCCAGAUUCCCAGGUGGCUCUUCUGCACACUAAAGUGGAGAAGCACUGUCAUUCUAGAAACCACCUGGAAGUUCAUUCAUUCAGCAUUCAACAUUUUCCUGAGCAGUACUCCUUGUGGGCCCUGUCCAUGGCACCAUCAAGUCCAAGAAGAUAUCGUUCUAUCCCCCAGGAGCUCAAAAUCUUCUAAAGGAUAGACAAACAGCAGAUGAUACAGGGAAAGGUUACUACUGGGAGGCCCCAGUUGCCCUUCUCAUCGGCAGAGGCAGCACAGCACACUGACUGAGGCCCCAGGGUCCGGCUACUCCAGUUGGCCUCCUCCUUGUACAAUGACCGUGUGACUGCUCAACCACCAUCUGACUGUGGAACAAGAGCUCCAGGAAGACGUGGACCUUGUCCUGUUCAGAUUUAUAUACCUAAAGACUAGCUCCGUCAAUGAGAAGCAGGAACUGUGCCAUCACUGAAUGAAUGAAGCCAGCAGGCAUC